This 253-nucleotide ribosomal RNA is filed under the name uncultured bacterium. Its description in RNAcentral is "partial 16S ribosomal RNA". It matches the Rfam family "Bacterial small subunit ribosomal RNA", at positions 524 to 776 of the family's 1533-position model. The record is from RNAcentral.
UACAGAGGUCUCAAGCGUUGUUCGGAUUCACUGGGCGUAAAGGGUGCGUAGGUGGUGAGGUAAGUCGGAUGUGAAAUCUCCGGGCUCAACCCGGAAAUGGCAUUGGAAACUACCUUGCUGGAGGAUUUGAGGGGGGAUUGGAAUACUUGGUGUAGCAGUGAAAUGCGUAGAUAUCAAGUGGAACACCAGUGGCGAAGGCGAAUCCCUGGAAAAUACCUGACACUGAGGCACGAAAGCUAGGGGAGCAAACGGG